AAACCGGAUUUUCUAAAAUCCACCCACACAACCAAAGAAUCAUUC
Regulatory RNA element from Phaeodactylum tricornutum CCAP 1055/1, 45 nucleotides. It matches the Rfam family "Histone 3' UTR stem-loop". From Rfam's summary of the family: The mRNAs of metazoan histone genes lack a poly-A tail. 3' end processing occurs at a site between a highly conserved stem-loop (modelled by this family) and a purine rich region around 20 nts downstream (the histone downstream element, or HDE). The record is from Rfam. NCBI's taxonomy places the organism in Eukaryota, Bacillariophyta, Bacillariophyceae, Surirellales, Neidiaceae.